Molecule: long non-coding RNA, 77 nt
Filed under: Falco tinnunculus (common kestrel)
Lineage: Eukaryota; Metazoa; Chordata; Aves; Falconiformes; Falconidae
Description: lncRNA (ENSFTIG00000014672.1)
Source: RNAcentral
CUGUUCUCAUUGAAGUGUUCCAAAGAAAAAGAGGAAGGCUGAAGUGCCUUUUCAUCAUUAGGAGCUGUGCUUCCCAA